AACGAACGCUGGCGGCAUGCCUAACACAUGCAAGUCGAACGAGACCUUCGGGUAUAGUGGCGCACGGGUGCGUAACGCGUGGGAAUCUGCCCUUGGGUUCGGAAUAACAGUUGGAAACGACUGCUAAUACCGGAUGAUGACGUAAGUCCAAAGAUUUAUCGCCCAAGGAUGAGCCCGCGUAGGAUUAGCUAGUUGGUGAGGUAAAGGCUCACCAAGGCGACGAUCCUUAGCUGGUCUGAGAGGAUGAUCAGCCACACUGGGACUGAGACACGGCCCAGAAUCCUACAGGACGCAGCAGCGGGGAAUAUUGGACAAAGGGCGAAAGCCUGAUCCUGCAAUGCCGGGUGAGUAGUGAAGGCCUUAGAGUUAUAAAGCUCUUUUACCCGGGGAGAUAAUGACAGUACCGGGAGAAUAAGCUCCGGCUAACUCCGUG
RNAcentral lists this ribosomal RNA (433 nucleotides) under uncultured bacterium. Its description in RNAcentral is "partial 16S ribosomal RNA". It matches the Rfam family "Bacterial small subunit ribosomal RNA", at positions 29 to 507 of the family's 1533-position model. The record is from RNAcentral.